Long non-coding RNA from Bos taurus (domestic cattle), 342 nucleotides. The record is from Ensembl. Lineage: Eukaryota; Metazoa; Chordata; Mammalia; Artiodactyla; Bovidae.
AGCGUCGCAAGCCACGGCAGAAGGACAGACCCGACAGGAAGCUGCCUCUGUGGGCUGGCCAAGCUGAGAUCCCUAAAUGGAACUUUCUGGAGGGUCCCUCAAGUACCUUUUCUAGGUCCAUCUGCUGCUGCUGCUGCUGCUAAGUCACUUCAGUCGUGUCCAACUCUGUGCGACCCCAUAGACGGCAGCCCACGAGGCUUCCCCAUCCCUGGGAUUCUCCAGGACCAAUAACAAACCAUGGACUGUUGAGGUGACAUCACCAAGAUGGCAGCGGGGUAGUUCCUGACUUCACUCUCCCUUGAAAGAAGAACAACUAACAAGUAUUCAUGGACGAGAUACCAA